This 1445-nucleotide ribosomal RNA is filed under the name uncultured organism. RNAcentral's name for it is "SSU rRNA". It matches the Rfam family "Bacterial small subunit ribosomal RNA". The record is from RNAcentral.
AGCUACAGGCUUAACACAUGCAAGUCGAGGGGCAUCAGGAAGAAAGCUUGCUUUCUUUGCUGGCGACCGGCGCACGGGUGAGUAACACGUAUCCAACCUGCCCUUUACUCGGGGAUAGCCUUUCGAAAGAAAGAUUAAUACCCGAUGGCAUAAUGAUUCCGCAUGGUUUCAUUAUUAAAGGAUUCCGGUAAAGGAUGGGGAUGCGUUCCAUUAGGUUGUUGGUGAGGUAACGGCUCACCAAGCCUUCGAUGGAUAGGGGUUCUGAGAGGAAGGUCCCCCACAUUGGAACUGAGACACGGUCCAAACUCCUACGGGAGGCAGCAGUGAGGAAUAUUGGUCAAUGGGCGCUAGCCUGAACCAGCCAAGUAGCGUGGAGGAUGAAGGCUCUAUGGGUCGUAAACUUCUUUUAUAUAAGAAUAAAGUGCAGUAUGUAUACUGUUUUGUAUGUAUUAUAUGAAUAAGGAUCGGCUAACUCCGUGCCAGCAGCCGCGGUAAUACGGAGGAUCCGAGCGUUAUCCGGAUUUAUUGGGUUUAAAGGGAGCGUAGGUGGACUGGUAAGUCAGUUGUGAAAGUUUGCGGCUCAACCGUAAAAUUGCAGUUGAUACUGUCAGUCUUGAGUACAGUAGAGGUGGGCGGAAUUCGUGGUGUAGCGGUGAAAUGCUUAGAUAUCACGAAGAACUCCGAUUGCGAAGGCAGCUCACUGGACUGCAACUGACACUGAUGCUCGAAAGUGUGGGUAUCAAACAGGAUUAGAUACCCUGGUAGUCCACACAGUAAACGAUGAAUACUCGCUGUUUGCGAUAUACAGUAAGCGGCCAAGCGAAAGCAUUAAGUAUUCCACCUGGGGAGUACGCCGGCAACGGUGAAACUCAAAGGAAUUGACGGGGGCCCGCACAAGCGGAGGAACAUGUGGUUUAAUUCGAUGAUACGCGAGGAACCUUACCCGGGCUUAAAUUGCAGUGGAAUGAUGUGGAAACAUGUCAGUGAGCAAUCACCGCUGUGAAGGUGCUGCAUGGUUGUCGUCAGCUCGUGCCGUGAGGUGUCGGCUUAAGUGCCAUAACGAGCGCAACCCUUAUCUUUAGUUACUAACAGGUUAUGCUGAGGACUCUAGAGAGACUGCCGUCGUAAGAUGUGAGGAAGGUGGGGAUGACGUCAAAUCAGCACGGCCCUUACGUCCGGGGCUACACACGUGUUACAAUGGGGGGUACAGAAGGCAGCUAGCGGGUGACCGCAUGCUAAUCCCAAAAGCCUCUCUCAGUUCGGAUCGAAGUCUGCAACCCGACUUCGUGAAGCUGGAUUCGCUAGUAAUCGCGCAUCAGCCACGGCGCGGUGAAUACGUUCCCGGGCCUUGUACACACCGCCCGUCAAGCCAUGGGAGCCGGGGGUACCUGAAGUACGUAACCGCAAGGAUCGUCCUAGGGUAAAACUGGUGACUGGGGCUAAGA